UCUGACAGUACCAACUGAAACACAAACAAUCUGGGUCAAAUCUACUUGAAGACAUUAGGCCCACACUGCCCCUUUGCGCAUGCGUCUGCGGUGAUUCUUGGCUGCAGGCCAGAGGAACGGUUCUCUUUCGCGCCUCCCUCCUGGUGUGUGGAAAUAUUGGAAGACAAUUUGGAGUGGAGGUGGUGACCCUCAGCCCACGUGUCAGUGUCUUCAAGGAGAGAUGGCCUGGUUUAUUCAAUGAGGCUCAGAUCAAGGAGGAGUUCCGACACAUAACAACUCUUUCACUGGAAGAGACUUUGAUGCUGAAACUGGAUGGGUACACUAACACCACUCGCUCCAGCUGAUGCGUGCCAAAGGAGGAGAUGCUGGCUCCAGGAUGCGCCCUCUUCUGAGCACAAUUGAUGA
Gymnodraco acuticeps is the source of this 405-nucleotide long non-coding RNA. RefSeq lists it as uncharacterized. Lineage: Eukaryota; Metazoa; Chordata; Actinopteri; Perciformes; Bathydraconidae. The record is from RefSeq and is a predicted model, not a curated record. The transcript is spliced from 3 exons.